This 250-nucleotide ribosomal RNA is filed under the name uncultured bacterium. Its description in RNAcentral is "partial 16S ribosomal RNA". It matches the Rfam family "Bacterial small subunit ribosomal RNA", at positions 355 to 597 of the family's 1533-position model. The record is from RNAcentral.
GGGGGAAUUUUGGACAAUGGGCGAAAGCCUGAUCCAGCCAUUCCGCGUGCAGGAUGAAGGCCCUCGGGUUGUAAACUGCUUUUGUACGGAACGAAAAGGUUUCCUCUAAUACAGGGAGCUCAUGACGGUACCGUAAGAAUAAGCACCGGCUAACUACGUGCCAACAGCCGCGGUAAUACGUAGGGUGCAAGCGUUAAUCGGAAUUACUGGGCGUAAAGCGUGCGCAGGCGGUGAUGUAAGACAGUUGUGA